Non-coding RNA from Podarcis lilfordi (Lilford's wall lizard), 72 nucleotides. NCBI's taxonomy places the organism in Eukaryota, Metazoa, Chordata, Lepidosauria, Squamata, Lacertidae. The record is from the annotation of a GenBank genome assembly.
GCGGUAUAGCUCAGUCGGUAGAGCAUGAGACUCGUAAUUUCAGGAUAAUGGGUUUGAGCACUACGUUAGGCA